RNAcentral lists this ribosomal RNA (1504 nucleotides) under gut metagenome. Its description in RNAcentral is "bacterial LSU rRNA". It matches the Rfam family "Bacterial large subunit ribosomal RNA", at positions 1070 to 2569 of the family's 2925-position model. The record is from RNAcentral.
AGGAUGUAGAGUUGUCAAAACAGCUAGGAGGUUGGCUUAGAAGCAGCCACCCUUUAAAGAGUGCGUAAUAGCUCACUAGUCGAGUGACACUGCGCCGAAGAUGUACCGGGGCUAAACACGAUACCGAAGCUGCGGACUUGUGCUUAUGUACAAGUGGUAGGGGAGCGUUCUAAGGGCUGUGAAGGUGGAUCGUAAGGACUGCUGGAGCGCUUAGAAGUGAGAAUGCCGGUGUGAGUAACGAAAAGUGGGUGAGAAUCCCAUUCACCGUUUGACUAAGGGUUCCUGGGUAAAGUUCGUCUUCCCAGGGUAAGUCAGGACCUAAGAUGAGGCUGAAAAGCGUAGUUGAUGGAUAACAGGUUGAUAUUCCUGUACCACCUAUAUGACUGAUGGAGUGACGGAGAAAGCUAACGAGGGCCAGUUAUUGGAUUCUGGUCUAAGUGCUUAGGCUUGUAUGUUGGCAAAUCCGCAAUACUAUUAAAGCUGAAACAUGAUGGGGAAGUGACGUUUCGACUGAUCGAACUCUCGUGAUGCUAUGCUUCCAAGAAAAGCUUCUAGGGUUAAUUGUAUAGGUGCCUGUACCGACAACCGACACAGGUGGUCAAGGAGAGUAUCCUAAGGUGAGCGAGAGAACUAUGGUUAAGGAACUCGGCAAAAUGACCCCGUAACUUCGGGAGAAGGGGUGGUCUAGCGAUAGACCCGCAGUGAAUAGACCCAGGCAACUGUUUACCAAAAACACAGGUCUCUGCUAACACGUAAGUGGAUGUAUAGGGGCUGACGCCUGCCCAGUGCUGGAAGGUUAAAGAGAUUAGUUAGUGUGACGUAAGUCGAUAACACGAAGCUUUGAACUGAAGCCCCAGUGAACGGCGGCCGUAACUAUAACGGUCCUAAGGUAGCGAAAUUCCUUGUCAGGUAAGUUCUGACCCGCACGAAAGGCGUAAUGAUCUGGGUACUGUCUCAACCAUAGACUCGGUGAAAUCUUAAUACCUGUGAAAAUGCAGGUUACCCGCGACUGGACGGAAAGACCCCGUGGAGCUUUACUGUAGCUUGAUAUUGGGAUUCGGUAAACUUUGUAGAGUAUAGGUGGGAGACUUUGAGACCAAGGCGCCAGCUUUGGUGGAGUCAUCAUUGGAAUACCACCCUUAGUUUAUUGGAUUUCUAACCUAGGACCAUUAUCUGGUUCAGGGACAGUGUCUGGUGGGCAGUUUGACUGGGGCGGUCGCCUCCUAAAAUGUAACGGAGGCGUUCAAAGGUUCCCUCAGAAUGGUUGGAAAUCAUUCGCAGAGCAUAAACGUAUAUAGGGAGCUUGACUGCGAGACUUACAAGUCAAGGAGGUGCGAAAGCAGGAGUUAGUGAUCAGGCGAUUCAGAAUGGAAUGGUCGUCGCUUAACGGAUAAAAGUUCCCCCGGGGAUAACAGGCUGAUACCACCCAAUAGUUCACAUAGACGGUGGUGUUUGGCACCUCGAUGUCGGCUCGUCAUAUCCUGGAGGUGGAGUCGCUUCCAAG